CUCCCUCCAGGGUCAGAAGGCAGCUAGCUGAUAAGGGGAGCAGCACCCACGGUGAGGUCUGACCAACAGCCGCAACCAUAGUGGCGCUUUGCUGAGUCUUCCUUGAGCUCCCUGUGUGCCUAACGCAGAGCUUCUCCCCUCCCCGGGGCUUUGGAAAAUCUGCUCUGAAAUGUCUUGUGAGUGAUCAGUUUACGCUUCAACAGGAAAAUGAGUUGAAUGGUGGAACUUGAGGCAGGGUUUUGGGGAAUGGACAGUGGGAGUUCUGGGAGUCUAGAGCCAGCCUCUGGGCUUGGGGUUAGCAGGGCCGAGGCAUGCCCAGAUCGCAUGCCAUCAAGCCCCAGGACCAGCCGCAUCUGUGGGGUACCUCCAGGGCGUCCCCCUCCUUGGCCUGCCCUGAUGGGCUGAUAAGACCUAGCCUCGGAGGAGGAGGCAGCUGUAAUUACAGGCCUUAGUGGUGGCGGGCAGGCAAGUCAUGAGGUGGGGGUGACUCAGACGAUUGCUCCACGGACAGGGUGGAGGCGGGGGCCACCCAUCUGCCCCUCACCCAGCUGGCCUGAGAUGGGUCUGGGCACCCAGGGAGCGGCCCGGCCAGGGUCCCAUCCUUGGGCCUGUGACCCAGGCCCCUGUGCCACUUGGCAUCCACGAAGCUGGCAUUGCACUGGACUUGGGACUGGCUGGGUUUUCCCCUUUCUUCGUCCCAGGCAAUAGCUUCUGGGAAGUAGGAGUCAGUGCUCAGAGGCACCAAUGGGAGGAUCAUCAGGACUGGACCGAGAGAGCCGCAGACUCGGGGGAGAGUACCGGGAGUCCCAGACCACAGAAAGACAGAACCUCAGCCAUGUGCAGACUCUGAGAACCAGCAGAUGACGGUUUCUAGAACCAAAUAUUUUCAGGUUCAAGGAUUCAGGGACUAGUAGAUCUGUAGAAUUAUCGAUUUAUAAGAUCACGGACCUGGUUGCAAUUGGUUCCAGAGAAUUCAUAUAUCCAUUGAGAUAGAGAUUUAAAAAAAAAUCACAGCAGCUGAUGAGUUCAGGAGUAAAUUACCUUGGUGUCUUCAACUUGCUCCCACAUGGAUCAGGCAAGAAAAGCCCCCCCAAAAGUAGAAAUAUGCAUCUUUCUCAUUUAACCUAGCUAGAGGGAAGGCCCGCAGACUGAAGAAUUAACAACUGGUAAAUUGAGGCAAUCAUUGUACUAAUCAUUUGACUGUCUAUGGGCUUAAAAAUUGUCAAAAUAAAAAGCCAGGAAAUAGUAAUAAAGAAAAGGAAAUGUGGGUCAGGCAUGGUGGCUCACGCCUGUAAUUCCAGCACUUUAGGAGGCUGAGGCGGUAGGAUCGCGUGAGCCCAGGAGAUUGAGACCAGCCUGAGCAAUAUAUUGAGACCUCGUUUCUAUGGGAAG
Molecule: long non-coding RNA, 1392 nt
Filed under: Homo sapiens (human)
Lineage: Eukaryota; Metazoa; Chordata; Mammalia; Primates; Hominidae
Description: PREDICTED lncRNA (TCONS_00168358)
Source: RNAcentral